Molecule: ribosomal RNA, 237 nt
Filed under: uncultured bacterium
Lineage: Bacteria
Description: partial 16S ribosomal RNA
Rfam family: Bacterial small subunit ribosomal RNA
Source: RNAcentral
GAUCCUGGCUCAGAUUGAACGCUGGCGGCAGGCCUAACACAUGCAAGUCGAGCGGAUGAAGAGAGCUUGCUCUCUGAUUCAGCGGCGGACGGGUGAGUAAUGCCUAGGAAUCUGCCUGAUAGUGGGGGACAACGUUUCGAAAGGAACGCUAAUACCGGAUACGUCCUACGGGAGGAAGCAGGGGACCUUCGGGCCUUGCGCUAUCAGAUGAGCCUAGGUCGGAUUAGCUAGUUGGUG